UGGGGAAUAUUGGGCAAUGGGCGCAAGCCUGACCCAGCAACGCCGCGUGAGGGAAGAAGGCUUUCGGGUUGUAAACCUCUGUCCUUGGUGACGAAAAAAAUGACGGUAGCCAAGGAGGAAGCCCCGGCUCACUACGUGCCAGCAGCCGCGGUAAUCCGUAGGGGGCGAGCGUUGUCCGGAAUUACUGGGCGUAAGGGGUGCGUAGGUGGCCUUUUAAGUUGGAUGUGAAAUACCCGGGCUUAACUUGGGGGGUGCAUCUAAUACUGGAGGGCUAGAGUGCAGUAGAGGGAAGCGGAAUUCCUAGUGUAGCGGUGAAAUGCGUAGAUAUUAGGAGGAACACCAGUGGCGAAGGCGGCUUUCUGGACUGUAACUGACACUGAGGCACGAAAGCGUGGGGAGCAAACA
This 405-nucleotide ribosomal RNA is filed under the name uncultured prokaryote. RNAcentral describes it as "bacterial SSU rRNA". It matches the Rfam family "Bacterial small subunit ribosomal RNA", at positions 355 to 774 of the family's 1533-position model. The record is from RNAcentral.